Long non-coding RNA from Dama dama (fallow deer), 1638 nucleotides. RefSeq lists it as uncharacterized. NCBI's taxonomy places the organism in Eukaryota, Metazoa, Chordata, Mammalia, Artiodactyla, Cervidae. The transcript is spliced from 3 exons. The record is from RefSeq and is a predicted model, not a curated record.
ACUGGAGUCAUGACAAGGAAGCUUGCCCAGGCCGUUCUGCUCCGCCGCCUUCCAGAUCACCCCAGCACACGGCUACUUGCCAAGAAGUGAUGGGACUGGCUGACAGUUGGUGAGGGGGCAGACGAGAACAUCAUAAGAAAUGCUGGGCUGGAGGAGGCACAAGCUGGAAUCAAGACUGCCAGGAGAAAUAUCAAUAACCUCAGAUGUGCAGAUGACACCACCCUUAUGGCAGAAAGUGAAGAAGAACUAAAGAGCCUCUUGAUGAAAGUGAAAGAGGAGAGUGAAAAAGUUGGCUGAAAGCACAACAUUCAGAAAAAUAAGAUCACGGCAUCCGGUCCCAUCACUUCAUGGCAAAUCGAUGGGGAAACAGUGGAAACAGUGGCUGACUUUAUUUUUCUGGGCUCCACAGUCACUGCACAUGGUGACUGCAGCCAUGAAAUUAAAAGACACUUACUCCUUGGAAGGAAAGUUAUAACCAACCUAGAUAGCAUAUUAUAAAGCAGAGAUAUUACUUUGUUAACAAAGGUCCAUCUAGUCAAGGGUAUGGUUUUUUCAGUGGUCAUGUAUGGAUGUGAGAGUUAGACUAUAAAGAGGGCUGAGUGCAGAAGAAUUGAUGCUUUUGAACUGUGGUGUUGGAGAAGACUCUUGAGAGUCCCUUGGACUACAAGGAGAUCCAACCAGUCCAUCCUAAAGGAGAUCAAUCCUGGGUGUUCUUUGGAAGGACUGAUGUUAAAGCUGAAACUCCAAUAUUUUGGCCACUUGUUGCAAAGUACUGACUCAUUUGAAAAGACCCUGAUGCUGGGAAAGACUGAAGGCAGGAGGAGAAGGGGAUGACAGAGGAUGAGAUGGUUAGAUGGCAUCACUGACUCAAAGGACAUGAGUUUGGGUAAACUCUGGGAGUUGGUGAUGGACAGGGAGGACUGGCGUGCUGCAGUUCAUGGGGUCGCAAAGAGUUGGACACAACUGAGUGACUGAAUUGAACUGAACCACAUAACAAAUAGAAGUUUGAGGGUAUUCCUUUUGGCCUCAGAGCACUAUGAAAAAUAUCACAAAGGCACAAAGGAUGCUAUGAGCAAAGAAACUCGAGAAUCUUUGAAUUAACAGAUGGUCUAAAGUUGAGUUUCUGUUAUAACUUUCUUAAAUCAUAGAAAAUUAAAGUUGGAAGGAAACUUAGUGAUAACUAAGGUGUUGGAGAAGAUUCUUGAGAGUCCCUUGGACUGCAAAGAGAUCAAACCAGUCAAUCCUGAAGGAAAUCAGUCCUGAAUAUUCAUUGGAAGGAUUGAUGCUGAAGCUGAAACUCUAGUACUUUGGCCACCUGAUGCAAGGAACUAACUCAUUUGAAAGGACCCUGAUGCUUAGAAAGAUUCAAGGCAGGAGGAGAAGGAGACAACAGAAGAUGAGGUGGUUGGAUGGCAUCAUCGACAUGAUGGUUAUGAGUUUUGAAAAAGCUCCAGGAGAUAGUGAAGGACAGGGAAGCCCGGCGUGCUGCAGUCCACGGGGUCACAAAGAGUCUGACACAAAUGAGUGACUGACCGAAAACAGCAAAGAACAAAUCCUGUCAUUUUACAGAGGACACAGCUAAGCAAGGUUAAGGGGUAUCAUCAAAGGUCAUCAGUUCUUGGUAGAACAAGAACUAGA